Molecule: long non-coding RNA, 4531 nt
Organism: Oryctolagus cuniculus (rabbit)
Lineage: Eukaryota; Metazoa; Chordata; Mammalia; Lagomorpha; Leporidae
Source: RefSeq, a predicted model, not a curated record
UUUUGCUGAUUCACCCUGCGGCCUUUACUCAUCAAGGACCAGGGAAGCAGCAGUCCUCUGGGCAGUCGCCAAGUGUGUGUCCUUGUGGAGCUUACAGUCACACUGAUGCCUCCUCGUGACUUUCAGGGUUUGCUUUUAUUAACCCACACUUUACCAAACAGGAAGCAAGGACUUUGGUCAGAAGACCAGCAAGCUUACCAGUGUGGAUCCAGGACUUGAACGCAAGUCUGCAGGAAGUACAGGGCAGGUGGCCUGGGGCACCACCUCCCCAUGGUGGUGCUUCCUGUCUAAGUGCCAUCAAGGUCCCUGCAUGUCACUUGUCUGUCCGUGGAAGAGCAGCCGCCCGCUUCCUCCCCACUGCGCAUCAUGUCUGGGGCCUGGUGAGGGACAGCUGUGGGCCAAAUCCAGGCCAGUUACAAGAGUGCUUUCCUCCUCUCCAAAAUGAAGUCUUGGAAUGUAGGGUGCUCUCCACAGAGCCGUGAUUGGAGGUUUCCUCCCUCUUAAUAAUCCUUUUAAAGAAAAGUCGCAGUAACACCCGCAGGAUCUGUGAUCAACAGGCUGAGAAACACUUCCCCACGGUCCCGGCAGCUGGGAGAUGAGCGAAGCAGAGGAGCAGCCAUUGCGUGCAUCUCCAAACACCUUCUCCCAGGAUGGCGUUCCCUCCAGCUCUGCAGCCGGGGUGGGCGUGGGGUUCCACUCUGCCAGCAUUGAACUGCGGUGACAGUUUCAGCCAAGCGGACGCGCUCCACAAAUAUGCAUUGACCCACGCUCUGCCCAGACCUGUGCUGGGUGCUCAGGGAACAGAGAUGGGACACUUCCCUGUGCUCCAAAGCGGUGGGAAAGCCUCUGCCUUGGAAAAGUCUUUCACUUCCAGCUGUUGGAGAGACUGACAGACGCACGGAAGCAGUCCCUGAGCAGGACGGAAGAGCCCGGCUGAUUCUCCCUCGCUGUGAGCCCUUGGGUGCAGCUCUCAAGGAGGAUGUCUUCAUAAGUGUCCUGCCUGCUAAUUUUGUCUCAGAGCUACUUCCCAAGCAAUCUGACCUGCAGAGCAAUAUCUUCCUGGAUUUGAAGAUGAGCAUCCCAACUCCCUAGAGAAAAGCCUUGGAAAAAGAAAUGACUCUAACUGGCAUAUGGUUGUAGUCAGAACAUGUUUCUCUCAUAAAUUAAACAGAGAAUGGGAAGAUCCAAGCUCCAGCUUUCAAAGACACACAUGACUAGAGAGCAUCUUUUUGGCUUUGAUUCAAUAUCAUGAUUAUGGGAAGGGAAUGGCAUAUAUAGUGAAAACAAAAUCGAACCGUAUAUUUGCUGAGAAAAUAUUUGCUUAAUCAGGGAAGUCUCUGUAAGCAAAGGCAUGCACACACAAAGUUCUUACAUCUGACAGGUGGGAAAAGCAAGCUGCAGACCAUGUUUUCUGUCCGGGCUGUGGCCAUGCACAGAGAGAGGGGUGUCCUUUGGUGCUGGUUCUGUGUAAAUGCUUCCCAGCUGGUGGGAACUGCUCUGCACCCGCCAGAGCCACUUUCUAAGAAAGGAAGAAUUUUAAGAGGGGCUUUUUGCAAAGUCAGCAGUAGACCUUCCAGCUGCUUGGAAGAUGUUUUGGCAGGGCUGGUGUGGGGCAAUAAUAGCUGACAGGAGUGGGAAUGUGAUUAGAGAGUUCCCACCUGCAGAGCUGAGCCAACAGACAUGUGCUAAUCUUUGCUGACAUCAAGGUGAGAAGAGUCUUAAGCACCCUUCUCAUGAAAUGCAAUGCCUCAAUGCUGAAUAGAGGCCUGUGGCUCAUGGGCACACAUCCCGUUUGCAUUUCGUAGGUUGAAACCAGGCAGUGUAGGAUCACAGACCCUCUGUUUCAGACCUUAAUAGAACCUCAAAUCUUACUACUGCUACUCAGUGCUCUAAAGCCUUCCAUGGAUGUAAGUUGGCUGGUGGUAUUCUCUUCAGUCAUCUUCGGGGCCUCCUCAAGGAACACAUUUCUGGUGCUCACUAGUAUUUCUGUUCUGCUUUUAGGAGCACGGGGUGCUCUUUCUGUGGCCUUGAAGUUAAACAAGGCUGUGUGAUUGGGUUUAGCCAAGUACAAUGUCAGGAAAAAUGACGUCAGUUAUUGCUGGGUGCAAAUGUUGAAGAACUGGAGAGCCUUUCUCUGUGGUUCCUGUUGUUGACGCCAGAGAACUUAGGUUGGAGUCUUGGAGGUUCUACUUAUUAACUGUGUGUGUUUUGAGGCCCAGAGAGGCCAUUAACUUGCUUUUCGCCUUUAGAGAAAGGAGACAAAAUAGUAUGUGUCGUACACAGUGGUUUUGCUUGACUUGUGGUAGGUCAAGUAAAAAGAUUAUUUCUUAUUCUCUCCACCCCAACUCUUCAACAACAUGAGAAUACUUGCUUUUGCCUCCAAAUGCUCUGCAUUUGUAGACAAGGAAUAUCUCCUGAAUUCUUUAUUUUAAACUUGAGUUUUUGAUAAAUUGCAGUAUCAUAUGGGACAUUAUUGGGACCCGUCAGAAAGCAGCCUGGAGUUUAUAUAUGUCAAAGAGGCUGACCUUGGCUUGCAAAAUGAGAAAAGUGAGCAUUCCUGAAAGUCAGAAAGAUGAAUAGAAUAUGAGUAUGAAAAUAGGAAGACAAAUGCUCUAAAACCAAGCUCUUACAUGUGUAGAGUGUAAAUCUUAAAUGCAAAGUGGACACUUCAGCAGUUCUUACUUCCAAGGCUUCCACAAUGUACUUCAUUUAGCCCUUCAAUCAAAAAUAUUCACCAAGUUCCCACCAGGUGCCAGGGAGUGUACAAGGCACUGAGGACCAAGCGAUGAACAAGAUAGGAAAGGUCCCUGCCUGCCCUUAGAGGACUUAACUCUUCAGAGAGACGUGCAGUAAACACGGUGGUGAGCGACAAAGAGGCUGCCUUUGGGAUGAAAACAGUUUUGAAGGAAGUGGGCCUUGAUGUGCCAGAGGAGCAGGGAUGUGGUCCCUGCGUGGUCCAGGUCAUCAGGAGGACGUUUCCCAGGCCUGGUGGGUUUGCUGAGUGCUGGAGUCGAGAACCAGCCAAAGGAAUGUCAUGGGGAGAGGGAAAAGCUAGUGGAAGUCUUUAGCGUGGGAAAAGGCUUGGAGGGAUAAGCAGGGAGGCCCCUGUGACUCGAGGAAAAGGAGAGGAGAGAAUGUGUGGAACAAGAUAAGAGAGAGAGGCCUGGGCCAGAACACACAGAGCCUCCUGGCCACCGCAAAGGGUUAGAACAAAAUUCACAUUGCAACAUGGGCAUGUAAAAACAGUGGGGACAUUUUCUUUUAGUUUCUUAAACAUUAAGGUGUAACUGACAUACAAUAAACUUCAAGAAGUUCCUGGGAAAUGUGUAUUAUGAAAAGACUGCAUGGAUUUUAAAAAUGCACCAAAAUACACUUAUUUUUUCUGUUAGAAUAUUUAUUCAUUUGAAAGGGGUGGAGGGGGAGAGAGAGAGUUUUCCCAUUUCCUGAUUCACUCCCCAAAUGCUAAGAACAGCUGAGGUUGGGGCAGGCCAAAGCCAGGAACCAGGAACUCAGUCCAUGGGUAGCAGGGACCCAACCACUUAAGUCAUUACUGCUGCUUCCCAGGGGCUGCAUUAAUAGGAAGCUGGAAGAGGGAAUGGAGCUGAGACUUUGAACCCAGGCACUCCAAUAGGAGAUGUGGCAGUUCCAAAUGAUUUCUCAACUGCUAUGCCAAACACCAGCCGUAAUGAAAAGGAUUUGUUUCUUGUUAUUUAUAUGAAAGGCAGAAUGAAGGGAGGUAGGGAGACUGAGAGAUCUUCCACUCACUGUUUCAUUUCCCCAAAUGUCUGCAAUGGCCAGGGCUAAACCAGGCUGAAACCAGGAGUUUGAAACUCCAUCUGGGUCUCCCAUGUGGGGAGCAGAGGCCCAAGUACUUGGGCCAUCUUCUGCUGCUUCGCCUAGGCACUUUAGUAGGGAGCUGGGUUGGAAGCAGAGUGGCCAGGACUUGAACUGGCAUGCCAAUAAGGGAUGUUGGUAUUGCAAGUGGUAACUUAACCUGAGGAGUCACAACACUGGCACCUCAACGUUAUCUCUUUUUUUAAGAUUGAUUUUAUUUAUUUGAAUGGCAGAGUUACAGAGAGAGAGCGACGAUGCCAGGAGCCAGGAUCUUCUUCCCAUCUCCCAUUUGGGGGCAAGAGCCCAAGCACUUGGGCCAUCCUCUGCUGCUUUUCCAGGUGCGUUAGCAGACAGUAGGAUAGGAAUUGGGGCAGCAGAGACUUGAAUUGGCGCCCAUAGAGGAUGCUGGUGGCCUUACUCAGUCUGUCACAACACCAGCCCUUCUCUUUCGUUUCCUUUCUUUCUCUCUCUCUCUUUCAAGUAGAUAAAAGUAAAUAAACAUUAAUAACUUAAAAAUAUGGCUUGUGUCAAUCAGCAUAAUUAUUUUGAAAUUCACCCAUGUUGUAUGUUCUGUUUCAUUGUUGAAUCAUAUUUCAUUGUAUGAAUGUGCUACAAUUUGUUUAUGCAUUGAUCCUAUUAUUGAACAUUUUCCCCCAGUUUUUGGUUAUUGCAAAUAAAGCUGCUAGGAACAUUUGUG